GUUACUGCUAUCGGAGUUCGAUUAAGCCAUGCGAGUCUAAAGGUUUCUUCGGAAACCUUGGCGGACUGCUCAGUAACACGUGGAUAACCUACCCUUGGGACUGGAAUAACCCCGGGAAACUGGGGAUAAUACCGGAUAGAUCAGGGAUGCUGGAGUGCACCUUGAUCUAAAGCUCCGGCGCCCAAGGAUGGGUCUGCGGCCUAUCAGGUAGUAGUGGGUGUAAUGUACCUACUAGCCAACGACGGGUACGGGUUGUGAGAGCAAGAGCCCGGAGAUGGAUUCUGAGACACGAAUCCAGGCCCUACGGGGUGCAGCAGGCGCGAAACCUUUACAAUGUGCGAAAGCAUGAUAAGGGAACUCCGAGUGCCAGUAUCUAAUACUGGCUGUCCUUGUACCUAAAACGCACAAGAUAGCAAGGGCCGGGUAAGACCGGUGCCAGCCGCCGCGGUAACACCGGCGGCCCGAGUGGUAGCCGCUAUUAUUGGGUCUAAAGGGUCCGUAGCCGGUUCGAUAAGUCCUCUGGGAAAUCUGGUUGCUUAACAAUCAGACUGCCAAGGGAUACUGUCGAACUUGAGACCGGGAGAGGUAAGAGGUACUUCAGGGGUAGGAGUGAAAUCUUGUAAUCCCUGGGGGACCAUCUGUGGCGAAGGCGUCUUACCAGAACGGGUCUGACGGUGAGGGACGAAAGCUGGGGGCGCAAACCGGAUUAGAUACCCGGGUAGUCCCAGCCGUAAACGAUGCUCGCUAUGUGUCAGGUACGGUGUGACCGUAUCUGGUGCCGUAGGGAAGCCGUGAAGCGAGCCACCUGGGAAGUACGGUCGCAAGACUGAAACUUAAAGGAAUUGGCGGGGGAGCACUACAACGGGUGGAGCCUGCGGUUUAAUUGGAUUCAACGCCGGA
Molecule: ribosomal RNA, 900 nt
Filed under: uncultured archaeon
Lineage: Archaea
Description: bacterial SSU rRNA
Rfam family: Archaeal small subunit ribosomal RNA
Source: RNAcentral